GUUAGAAGGCUACUCCAAUUAAUCCUGUUGUUUAAUUUAGGCUUCCCGGGAAGCAGCCUCUGAGAUUAGUGUGAGAGGUUUAUUAGUUCUUUUGAAACUGACAACUGUGGAAGGGAAGGGAAGAAAGCAGGAUUGGACAAUGGCAAGGGUUGUGUUGUCAUGUAAUGUCCGCAAAUUCUCAGCCAACCCAGAAGGGGAUGGCCACUCAGACUUGUCCUGCCUUAAGGAGGAACUCACUUUGUUUUCUUUGUUGUCAUUGGCAAUCACGACUCAUGACACUUCUGCAGAUUUUGGUGGUAAAUGAGACCCUUGAAGUAUGAAGAGACCUCCUGACAACCAUCCACAUCUUCUUCA
RNAcentral lists this long non-coding RNA (354 nucleotides) under Equus caballus (horse). RNAcentral's name for it is "lncRNA (ENSECAG00000047452.1)". Lineage: Eukaryota; Metazoa; Chordata; Mammalia; Perissodactyla; Equidae. The record is from RNAcentral.